AAUGAACGUUGGCGGCAUGGAUUAGGCAUGCAAGUCGGGGGAAUCCCAGCAAUGGGGGAACCGGCGUAAGGGGCAGUAAGGCAUGGGUACCUACCUUGGGGUUCGGGAUAGCCAUCAGAGAUGGUGGGUAAUACCGGAUGACGUCGUGAGACCAAAGAUUUAUCGCCCUUAGAGGGGCCCAUGUGAUAUUAGCUAGUUGGUGGGGUAACGGCCCACCAAGGCGAAGAUGUCUAGCGGGUGUGGGAGCACGACCCGCGCCACUCGCACUGAGACACUGGCGAGACACCUACGGGUGGCUGCAGUCGAGGAUCUUCGGCAAUGAGCGCAAGCUUGACCGAGCGAGGCCGCGUGAGCGAUGAAGGCCUUCGGGUUGUAAAGCUCUUUAGUGGGGGAGAAAAGCCGCAAGGUGUGAUCUAUCCCAAAAAUAAGCACGGGCUAAGUUCGUGCCAGCAGCCGCCUCA
This 461-nucleotide ribosomal RNA is filed under the name uncultured bacterium. RNAcentral's name for it is "partial 16S ribosomal RNA". It matches the Rfam family "Bacterial small subunit ribosomal RNA", at positions 29 to 522 of the family's 1533-position model. The record is from RNAcentral.